Molecule: transfer RNA, 73 nt
Filed under: Stegodyphus mimosarum
Lineage: Eukaryota; Metazoa; Arthropoda; Arachnida; Araneae; Eresidae
Rfam family: tRNA
About the family: Transfer RNA (tRNA) molecules are approximately 80 nucleotides in length. Their secondary structure includes four short double-helical elements and three loops (D, anti-codon, and T loops).
Source: Rfam by way of RNAcentral
GCCUUCGUGGUAUAGUGGUCAGCACCCUCGAUGCGUUAACAAGAGGUCCGUGGUUCGAUUCCCGGCGAAGGUG